RNAcentral lists this ribosomal RNA (119 nucleotides) under Tropilaelaps mercedesae. Lineage: Eukaryota; Metazoa; Arthropoda; Arachnida; Mesostigmata; Laelapidae. The record is from RNAcentral.
GAUAUCGCCCAUACCACGUUGAAUACGCCGGUACUCGUCUCAUCACCAAAGCUAACCAAUGUUGGGUUCGGGUAGUACUUGGAAGGGAGAGCGCUUGGGAACACCGGGUGUUGAUAGCA